GACGGAGGGUGCUAGCGUUGUUCGGAAUGACUGGGCGUAAAGGGCGCGUAGGCGGCUUUUCAAGUCGGGUGUGAAAGCCCGGGGCUCAACCCCGGAACGGCAUCCGAUACUGGGAGGCUUGAGACCGGGGAGAGGAGGGUGGAAUAUCCAGUGUAGAGGUGAAAUUCGUAGAUAUUGGAUGGAACACCAGUGGCGAAAGCGGCUCUCUGG
RNAcentral lists this ribosomal RNA (210 nucleotides) under uncultured bacterium. Its description in RNAcentral is "partial 16S ribosomal RNA". It matches the Rfam family "Bacterial small subunit ribosomal RNA", at positions 524 to 732 of the family's 1533-position model. The record is from RNAcentral.